GGAGGAGUAGCGAAGUGGCUAAACGCGGCUGACUGUAACUCAGUUCCUUUGGUUCGGUGGUUCGAAUCCGCCCUCCUCCA
Molecule: transfer RNA, 80 nt
Filed under: Thomasclavelia cocleata
Lineage: Bacteria; Bacillati; Bacillota; Erysipelotrichia; Erysipelotrichales; Coprobacillaceae
Also listed under: 1 other name
Description: Clostridium cocleatum tRNA
Rfam family: tRNA
About the family: Transfer RNA (tRNA) molecules are approximately 80 nucleotides in length. Their secondary structure includes four short double-helical elements and three loops (D, anti-codon, and T loops).
Source: Rfam by way of RNAcentral